RNAcentral lists this ribosomal RNA (440 nucleotides) under uncultured bacterium. RNAcentral describes it as "partial 16S ribosomal RNA". It matches the Rfam family "Bacterial small subunit ribosomal RNA", at positions 338 to 795 of the family's 1533-position model. The record is from RNAcentral.
CCUACGGGGUGCUGCAGUGGGGAAUAUUGCACAAUGGGGGAAACCCUGAUGCAGCGACGCCGCGUGAGUGAGGAAGUAUUUCGGUAUGUAAAGCUCUAUCAGCAGGGAAGAAAAUGACGGUACCUGAGUAAGAAGCCCCGGCUAACUACGUGCCAGCAGCCGCGGUAAUACGUAGGGGGCAAGCGUUAUCCGGAUUUACUGGGUGUAAAGGGAGCGUAGACGGCAGUGCAAGUCAGGAGUGAAAGGCCAGGGCUCAACCCUCGGACUGCUCUGGAAACUGUAUAGCUGGAGUGCAGGAGAGGUAAGUGGAAUUCCUAGUGUAGCGGUGAAAUGCGUAGAUAUUAGGAGGAACACCAGUGGCGAAGGCGGCUUACUGGACUGUAACUGACGUUGAGGCUCGAAAGCGUGGGGAGCAAACAGGAUUAGAUACCCGUGUAGUC